CCACCCUCACCGCGCAUCACCUCGAAGGAAUCCACCUCAGCCACAAGCUCGCCGGCGACGGGAUCGGUGCCGGACCAGUUCACCAGGGCCUGCCACCGUGUCAUCGCGAUGGUCAGGCGAUGACCCAAGCGCGCGGCUCUGCCAACGACUCCGGUGCGAAGUACCAGCUCGCCGUCGGAAGCAUCAAGAGUCCACACCGCGUCGCUCACGCCACGACUGUAUUCAGACGACCUGCCUG
RNAcentral lists this small RNA (238 nucleotides) under Mycobacterium tuberculosis H37Rv. Its description in RNAcentral is "Putative small regulatory RNA". The stretch from base 130 to 238 matches the Rfam family "AS1890 sRNA". The record is from RNAcentral. RNAcentral also lists the same sequence under 3 other names. Lineage: Bacteria; Bacillati; Actinomycetota; Actinomycetes; Mycobacteriales; Mycobacteriaceae.